Molecule: ribosomal RNA, 628 nt
Filed under: Lactobacillus amylovorus
Lineage: Bacteria; Bacillati; Bacillota; Bacilli; Lactobacillales; Lactobacillaceae
Description: bacterial SSU rRNA
Rfam family: Bacterial small subunit ribosomal RNA
Source: RNAcentral
AAUACAUGCAAGUCGAGCGAGCGGAACCACAGAUUUACUUCGGUAAUGACGUUGGGAAAGCGAGCGGCGGAUGGGUAGAGUAACACGUGGGGAACCUGCCCCUAAGUCUGGGAUACCAUUUGGAAACAGGUGCUAAUACCGGAUAAUAAAGCAGAUCGCAUGAUCAGCUUUUGAAAGGCGGCGUAAGCUGUCGCUAAGGGAUGGCCCCGCGGUGCAUUAGCUAGUUGGUAAGGUAACGGCUUACCAAGGCGACGAUGCAUAGCCGAGUUGAGAGACUGAUCGGCCACAUUGGGACUGAGACACGGCCCAAACUCCUACGGGAGGCAGCAGUAGGGAAUCUUCCACAAUGGACGCAAGUCUGAUGGAGCAACGCCGCGUGAGUGAAGAAGGUUUUCGGAUCGUAAAGCUCUGUUGUUGGUGAAGAAGGAUAGAGGUAGUAACUGGCCUUUAUUUGACGGUAAUCAACCAGAAAGUCACGGCUAACUACGUGCCAGCAGCCGCGGUAAUACGUAGGUGGCAAGCGUUGUCCGGAUUUAUUGGGCGUAAAGCGAGCGCAGGCGGAAAAAUAAGUCUAAUGUGAAAGCCCUCGGCUUAACCGAGGAACUGCAUCGGAAACUGUUUUUCUUGA